This 302-nucleotide ribosomal RNA is filed under the name uncultured bacterium. RNAcentral describes it as "partial 16S ribosomal RNA". It matches the Rfam family "Bacterial small subunit ribosomal RNA", at positions 508 to 807 of the family's 1533-position model. The record is from RNAcentral.
GCAGCAGCCGCGGGAAUACGUAGGGUGCAAGCGUUAAUCGGAAUUACUGGGCGUAAAGCGUGCGCAGGCGGUUAUAUAAGACAGAUGUGAAAUCCCCGGGCUCAACCUGGGAACUGCAUUUGUGACUGUAUAGCUAGAGUACGGCAGAGGGGGAUGGAAUUCCGCGUGUAGCAGUGAAAUGCGUAGAUAUGCGGAGGAACACCGAUGGCGAAGGCAAUCCCCUGGGCCUGUACUGACGCUCAUGCACGAAAGCGUGGGGAGCAAACAGGAUUAGAUACCCCUGUAGUCCCUGUCUCUUAUAC